UGCUGGAGGUAUCAGAAGUGCGAAUGCUGACAUAAGUAACGAUAAAGCGGGUGAAAAGCCCGCUCGCCGGAAGACCAAGGGUUCCUGUCCAACGUUAAUCGGGGCAGGGUGAGUCGACCCCUAAGGCGAGGCCGAAAGGCGUAGUCGAUGGGAAACGGGUUAAUAUUCCCGUACUUGGUGUUACUGCGAAGGGGGGACGGAGAAGGCUAUGUUGGCCGGGCGACGGUUGUCCCGGUUUAAGCGUGUAGGUGUGUGUUCCAGGUAAAUCCGGUUCACUUUAACACUGAGGCGUGAUGACGAGGCACUACGGUGCUGAAGCAACAAAUGCCCUGCUUCCAGGAAAAGCCUCUAAGCAUCAGGUAACAUCAAAUCGUACCCCAAACCGACACAGGUGGUCAGGUAGAGAAUACCAAGGCGCUUGAGAGAACUCGGGUGAAGGAACUAGGCAAAAUGGUGCCGUAACUUCGGGAGAAGGCACGCUGACACGUAGGUGAAGUGAUUUACUCAUGGAGCUGAAGUCAGUCGAAGAUACCAGCUGGCUGCAACUGUUUAUUAAAAACACAGCACUGUGCAAACACGAAAGUGGACGUAUACGGUGUGACGCCUGCCCGGUGCCGGAAGGUUAAUUGAUGGGGUCAGCGCAAGCGAAGCUCCUGAUCGAAGCCCCGGUAAACGGCGGCCGUAACUAUAACGGUCCUAAGGUAGCGAAAUUCCUUGUCGGGUAAGUUCCGACCUGCACGAAUGGCGUAAUGAUGGCCAGGCUGUCUCCACCCGAGACUCAGUGAAAUUGAACUCGCUGUGAAGAUGCAGUGUACCCGCGGCAAGACGGAAAGACCCCGUGAACCUUUACUAUAGCUUGACACUGAACAUUGAGCCUUGAUGUGUAGGAUAGGUGGGAGGCUUUGAAGUGUGGACGCCAGUCUGCAUGGAGCCGACCUUGAAAUACCACCCUUUAAUGUUUGAUGUUCUAACGUGGACCCGUAAUCCGGGUUGCGGACAGUGUCUGGUGGGUAGUUUGACUGGGGCGGUCUCCUCCUAAAGAGUAACGGAGGAGCACGAAGGUUGGCUAAUCCUGGUCGGACAUCAGGAGGUUAGUGCAAUGGCAUAAGCCAGCUUGACUGCGAGCGUGACGGCGCGAGCAGGUGCGAAAGCAGGUCAUAGUGAUCCGGUGGUUCUGAAUGGAAGGGCCAUCGCUCAACGGAUAAAAGGUACUCCGGGGAUAACAGGCUGAUACCGCCCAAGAGUUCAUAUCGACGGCGGUGUUUGGCACCUCGAUGUCGGCUCAUCACAUCCUGGGGCUGAAGUAGGUCCCAAGGGUAUGGCUGUUCGCCAUUUAAAGUGGUACGCGAGCUGGGUUUAGAACGUCGUGAGACAGUUCGGUCCCUAUCUGCCGUGGGCGCUGGAGAACUGAGGGGGGCUGCUCCUAGUACGAGAGGACCGGAGUGGACGCAUCACUGGUGUUCGGGUUGUCAUGCCAAUGGCACUGCCCGGUAGCUAAAUGCGGAAGAGAUAAGUGCUGAAAGCAUCUAAGCACGAAACUUGCCCCGAGAUGAGUUCUCCCUGAGACUUUAGGUCUCCUGAAGGAACGUUGAAGACGACGACGUUGAUAGGCCGGGUGUGUAAGCGCAGCGAUGCGUUGAGCUAACCGGUACUAAUGAACCGUGAGGCUUAACCUUACAACGCCGAAG
Molecule: ribosomal RNA, 1688 nt
Filed under: Salmonella enterica subsp. enterica serovar Gaminara
Lineage: Bacteria; Pseudomonadati; Pseudomonadota; Gammaproteobacteria; Enterobacterales; Enterobacteriaceae
Description: bacterial LSU rRNA
Rfam family: Bacterial large subunit ribosomal RNA
Source: RNAcentral